AGCAGCCGCGGUAAUUCCAGCUCCAAUAGCGUAUAUUAAAGUUGUUGCAGUUAAAAAGCUCGUAGUUGAAUUUCGGGGUCAGCAAGUCGGUCGUGCCACCGGUAUGUACUGGCUUUACUGAUUCCUCCUUCUUGUAGAACCAUAAUGCCAUUAACUUGGUGUUGCGGGGAAACAGGACUGUUACUUUGAAAAAAUUAGAGUGUUUAAAGCAAGCUAACGCUUGAAUACAUUAGCAUGGAAUAAUGAAAUAGGACGAACGAUCCUAUUUUGUUGGUUUCUAGGAUUGACGUAAUGAUUAAUAGGGAUAGUUGGGGGCAUUAGUAUUCAAUUGUCAGAGGUGAAAUUCUUGGAUUUAUUGAAGACUAACUACUGCGAAAGCAUUUUGCCAAGGAUGUUUUCAUUAAUCAAGAACGAAAGUUAGGGGAUCGAAGACGAUCAGAUACCGUCGUAGUCUUAACCAUAAACUAUGCCGACUAGGGAUCGGAUGAUGUUAAUUUUAUAAUGACUCAUUCGGCGCCUU
This 520-nucleotide ribosomal RNA is filed under the name uncultured Glomus. Its description in RNAcentral is "SSU rRNA". It matches the Rfam family "Eukaryotic small subunit ribosomal RNA", at positions 569 to 1089 of the family's 1831-position model. The record is from RNAcentral. Lineage: Eukaryota; Fungi; Glomeromycota; Glomeromycetes; Glomerales; Glomeraceae.